Molecule: ribosomal RNA, 497 nt
Filed under: uncultured bacterium
Lineage: Bacteria
Description: partial 16S ribosomal RNA
Rfam family: Bacterial small subunit ribosomal RNA
Source: RNAcentral
GACGAACGCUGGCGGCGUGCCUAAUACAUGCCAGUAGAACGCUGAAGAGAGGAGCUUGCUCUUCUUGGAUGAGUUGCGAACGGGUGAGUAACGCGUAGGUAACCUGCCUUGUAGCGGGGGAUAACUAUUGGAAACGAUAGCUAAUACCGCAUAACAAUAGGUGACACAUGUCAUUUAUUUGAAAGGGGCAAUUGCUCCACUACAAGAUGGACCUGCGUUGUAUUAGCUAGUAGGUGAGGUAACGGCUCACCUAGGCGACGAUACAUAGCCGACCUGAGAGGGUGAUCGGCCACACUGGGACUGAGACACGGCCCAGACUCCUACGGGAGGCAGCAGUAGGGAAUCUUCGGCAAUGGGGGCAACCCUGACCGAGCAACGCCGCGUGAGUGAAGAAGGGUUUCGGAUCGUAAAGCUCUGUUGUAAGUCAAGAACGAGUGUGAGAGUGGAAAGUUCACACUGUGACGGUAGCUUACCAGAAAGGGACGGCUAACUACGUG